UCAAGUUCUAAUACUAGUGCCUGGGAAGAAUUUAAAGUUUCUAGAAAUGAUAUGUUAAUAUUCUGACUCCUGGUGAGUCCCUUUAAAAUUAGAGCUACAGUCCCUGCACUAAGCUCUGCUACUGCAUCACAAGGUGACUGCUGGCUUAUGGAGGCACUUAUCAUUGCCAAGGGAAUGCCCUGUCUAACUCUGGAGGUUAUUCUCAGGAAUACCAUCAGAAGAGAGCUGCAAGAUUAGCUGCAGCCUCCUGAGGAUUGCACAUAGUAGGAGGAGCUGAAGAAAGGACAAUCACAGGAGUAUAAGUAGAGAACCAGGAAAGCUGAUGGUGCCAUUCAAUCUGAAUCUGAAAGCCUGAGACUGAGAUCAGUGUCCAAGGGUCUCUCACUGGCCUGGAGCUCAGCAAUUGGGUUAGACUGUCUGUGCCCAUGUCUACGGAGCUCGGGGGAUCAUUCUCUCUCCACCUCCCUGCCCCUGGGAUGACAAGUGUAUACUACCAUCCCAGACACUUUUAUCUGGUUCCUGAGUAUCAAACUCUUCAUGACUGCAAGGCAAGUGCCUCAGGCCUAUUCAGUUCUUCUGUUAUUCAUAUCUUUUAUUUCUUCACUGGGAUUUUUUUCAUGAUUGUUUCAAGAAUAUUUGCUAUUGCUUAUUAUGGCACCUGUAUACAAUGCUUUAAUGUCUUUCAGAAAGUUAUAAAUCUGUGUAUUAACCUGUUAACACUGCUUUAAUAAAUACCAUAGACUGUGUGUAAGUCAAAUUCAUUGCUAAGAGGCCAGCAUACUAAUGGCUUUCAUGCCCACUGAGAGGCCCACUGUGACCCUCUCUCCUCACACUGUCCUUACGACCCACCAACAUAAUGUUCCUCCAAACUACGGCUUAGGGAAUAAAGACAUUUAUUUGGGCUUGCCAGCAGAGCUUAUGGUAAUGAGGAGGAGUACCUACAAAGGUUUGACACCCAUAGACUUUUUUCUCUACAUCUCAGCUGAGCCUUCCAGAUCUGCAGCCACUGGCUGCAGGACCAAGAUGGAGAAGUGCCCUCCACCCUGGCUUCUUCAGUGUCUCUCCUUAGGCUCUCCCCCUCAUGCAAUUGAAGCUGACGGAUUGAGUGACUGUCUCCCUGUCUUUUUACAGAGAGUCUUAGUAUUCAAAUGGUUUGAGGAGAACACAAGAGAAGCUAGAGACGGCAUCUAUCCAUGUGCUUGCCAUUCGAAGGGCACGCCUAUCCAACACUGUGUAUUUUAAACAGAGGUUCAUUUCCCACCAUUCUGGAGGCUAGGUGACCUCAGCCUGCUGACAUUCUCUCCUCGCUUUCAUUAGCUACUUUUCUGUUGAUGUGAUAAAACACCACGGCCAAGGCAAC
Long non-coding RNA from Nannospalax galili (Upper Galilee mountains blind mole rat), 1360 nucleotides. RefSeq lists it as uncharacterized. The transcript is spliced from 4 exons. NCBI's taxonomy places the organism in Eukaryota, Metazoa, Chordata, Mammalia, Rodentia, Spalacidae. The record is from RefSeq and is a predicted model, not a curated record.